CUGACGAGUGUGCCGGAGGAGAUCGGGCAGCUAACGGCGAUGACGGAGUUAUACCUCAACGCCAAUCAGCUGACGAGCUUGCCGGUGGAGAUCGGGCAGCUCAGGUCACUGGAGAUGUUGCAGCUCGGCGGCAAUCAGCUGACGAGCGUGCCGGCGGAGAUCAGGCAGCUCACGUCGCUGAAGUGUUUGGACCUCAACAACAAUCAGCUGACGAGUGUGCCGGCGGAGAUCGGGCAGCUCACGUCGCUGAUUAGUUUGCACCUCGGCAAAAAUCAGCUGACGAGCGUGCCGGCGGAGAUCGGGCAGCUAACGGCGAUGACGGAGUUAUACCUCAACGCCAAUCAGCUGACGAGCUUGCCGGCGGAGAUCUGGCAGCUCACGCCGCUGACAGAGUUGUACCUCUACGGCAAUCAGCUGACGAGCGUGCCGGCGGAGAUCGGGCAGCUCAGGUCGCUGACGGAAUUGAAUCUCUCCAG
This 476-nucleotide long non-coding RNA is filed under the name Micromonas commoda. Its description in RNAcentral is "long non-coding RNA (MCOM_LNC000384)". The record is from RNAcentral. Lineage: Eukaryota; Viridiplantae; Chlorophyta; Mamiellophyceae; Mamiellales; Mamiellaceae.